GUGCUCACUUUGGCAGGACAUAUUCUAAAAUUGGAAGAAUACAAAGAUUAGCAUAGCCCCUGUGACAGGCAAAUUCAUGAGGUGUUCCAUAUUUUU
This is a small nuclear RNA of Pteropus vampyrus (large flying fox), 96 nucleotides long. NCBI's taxonomy places the organism in Eukaryota, Metazoa, Chordata, Mammalia, Chiroptera, Pteropodidae. The record is from Ensembl.